UUCAGAAUAAAGUAAUGGGCAUUGAUGCGCUGAAGGUCAAACUGCAGAUUUGGGACACUGCUGGACAGGAACGUUUCCGGAGCGUCACACACGCUUACUAUCGUGAUGCUAAUGCUCUCCUUCUUCUCUAUGAUGUCACUAACAAAGCAUCCUUCGACAACAUCCGGG
Molecule: non-coding RNA, 168 nt
Organism: Labrus bergylta (ballan wrasse)
Lineage: Eukaryota; Metazoa; Chordata; Actinopteri; Labriformes; Labridae
Source: RefSeq, a predicted model, not a curated record